Camponotus floridanus (Florida carpenter ant) is the source of this 73-nucleotide non-coding RNA. Lineage: Eukaryota; Metazoa; Arthropoda; Insecta; Hymenoptera; Formicidae. The record is from Rfam.
GUCGGGAUAGCUCAGUGGUCCAGAGCAAUUGUCCGGAAAACGAAAGACUUGGGUUCGAUUUUCGAUCCAGCCA